This is a long non-coding RNA of Perognathus longimembris pacificus (Pacific pocket mouse), 228 nucleotides long. RefSeq lists it as uncharacterized. Lineage: Eukaryota; Metazoa; Chordata; Mammalia; Rodentia; Heteromyidae. The transcript is spliced from 3 exons. The record is from RefSeq and is a predicted model, not a curated record.
GGUGUGUGAUUGUUGGAAGAGGAUUUUACUGUUGUCAUUAUGUGUAAUGUACUAGGUGAAUUUCCUUUGACAUACUCCCUGUGGUCACUGCAUAUGAUUCUGUUACACUGGAUUUUCUAUGUAAGCUUGUCUGAACUGGGGAAGGGAAAGAAAAAUGAAGGAGGGUGUAACAAAUAUGACAAGAAAUGUACUCACUACCUUAUUAUGUAACUAUACCCUCUCUGUACA